This 274-nucleotide ribosomal RNA is filed under the name uncultured bacterium. RNAcentral describes it as "partial 16S ribosomal RNA". It matches the Rfam family "Bacterial small subunit ribosomal RNA", at positions 523 to 796 of the family's 1533-position model. The record is from RNAcentral.
AUACGGAGGGGGCUAGCGUUGUUCGGAAUUACUGGGCGUAAAGCGCGCGUAGGCGGGCUGGUUAGUUGGGGGUGAAAUCCCAGGGCUUAACCCUGGAACUGCCUUCAAUACUGCCAGUCUAGAGUUCGAGAGAGGUGAGUGGAAUUCCUAGUGUAGAGGUGAAAUUCGUAGAUAUUAGGAAGAACACCAGUGGCGAAGGCGGCUCACUGGCUCGAUACUGACGCUGAGGUGCGAAAGCGUGGGGAGCAAACAGGAUUAGAUACCCCAGUAGUCC